RNAcentral lists this ribosomal RNA (300 nucleotides) under uncultured bacterium. Its description in RNAcentral is "bacterial SSU rRNA". It matches the Rfam family "Bacterial small subunit ribosomal RNA", at positions 496 to 795 of the family's 1533-position model. The record is from RNAcentral.
GCCGCAUCCGGCGCGUAGGCGUGUGUGAUACGGAGGGGGGUUGCGUUGUUCGGAAUGACGGCGCAGAAAGCGUGCGCAUGCGGUUUGUUAAGGUAGAUGUGAAAGCCCUUGGCUCAACCUAGGGAUAGCCUUUCGAAGUGGCUAACUAGAGUCUUGUAGAGGGGGGUAGAAUUCCAGGUGUAGCGGUGAAAUGCGUAGAGAUCUGGAGGAAUACCGGUGGCGAAGGCGGCCCCCUGGACAAAGACUGACGCUCAUGCACGAAAGCGUGGGGAGCAAACAGGAUUAGAUACCCGAGUAGUC